Long non-coding RNA from Ruditapes philippinarum (Manila clam), 386 nucleotides. RefSeq lists it as uncharacterized. The record is from RefSeq and is a predicted model, not a curated record. NCBI's taxonomy places the organism in Eukaryota, Metazoa, Mollusca, Bivalvia, Venerida, Veneridae. The transcript is spliced from 3 exons.
AGAUAUAAAAGCCCAAAGGUUUACGUUCACCUCGUCUACAUCUCUGGUGACAACACAUCUCGAUUUCAGCAUCAAAAGCAACAACAACAAUGAACAACAAAAUGAUGUUUGUUUUUCUCCUCAUUGGAAUACUGGCUGUGUCGACUAUUCAGGUGGCAGAUGCUGUGACAUAUAGCUGUUACAAUGAGGGUGUCGGUUGCCCAAUCCCUGGCGAGGGAUCAGUUAGCAGUAGUCUGUGUAAUGACGCCUGCUCCGGCGACUUUAUGUGCUGCCAAGAUGCCUAGGAUUGUCAAAUAAUGAACCUCACAGCAGUAAAUAUUGAAAGUUGAAAUAAUUUAUGUAAUCAGAAGAUGAAAUUGCAUUCCUGAAAUAAAAAUAAAAAUAUA